CCUACGGGCGGCAGCAGUGAGGAAUAUUGGUCAAUGGCCGGAAGGCUGAACCAGCCAUGCCGCGUGAAGGUCAGUGCCCUAUGGGCGUUAAACUUCUUUUGUGCGGGAGCAAUAAUGGUCACGUGUGGCCAGACGAGAGUACCGUACGAAUAAGCAUCGGCUAACUCCGUGCCAGCAGCCGCGGUAAUACGGGGGAUGCAAGCGUUAUCCGGAUUUAUUGGGUUUAAAGGGUGCGUAGGCUGUGAGGUAAGUCAGCGGUGAAAUGCCCCCGCUCAACGGGGUGAAGUGCCAUUGAUACUGCCUGGCUGGAAUGCGGAUGCCGUGGGAGGAAUGUGUGGUGUAGCGGUGAAAUGCAUAGAUAUCACACAGAACACCGAUUGCGAAGGCAUCUCACGAAGCCGCGAUUGACGCUGAUGCACGAAAGCGUGGGUAUCAAACAGGAUUAGAUACCCGGGUAGUC
Molecule: ribosomal RNA, 460 nt
Filed under: uncultured bacterium
Lineage: Bacteria
Description: partial 16S ribosomal RNA
Rfam family: Bacterial small subunit ribosomal RNA
Source: RNAcentral